Molecule: long non-coding RNA, 452 nt
Filed under: Citrus sinensis (sweet orange)
Lineage: Eukaryota; Viridiplantae; Streptophyta; Magnoliopsida; Sapindales; Rutaceae
Description: long non-coding RNA (CSIN_LNC000444)
Source: RNAcentral
CCGUACAAGAAGAUUAAUAUUGGCGUUUCUUUCAUCUAAGAAGUGGGUUCUCUCAAAAUUUCGGUCGACAAAUCAUUCAAGCUAUCCAGCCCGCAGAAAUGGAUGAAAUGCCAUUUCACUGGUUCUCAUCGUUGGAGAAUGCUCACCAAACUAAGCACAUUGUUUGGUGGAGACCCGACUUCACCAUGUGAUCAACUUGAUUGACGAAUCAAUCAAAGUGUCCACUAUAUAGUAACUCUACACACGUCCAACUUUUCUGUCCCAUUGCUAGACUUGUCUGUUAAAUUUUUUCAAGCUUCAUCAGUUAUUCUGUAUUCUGAGAUUUAAGUUAUAAAUUAUGUAUUCUAAGUUCUAAAUUCUGAAUUUCGGAAUUCCAAUGGUUGGUUGAGAAUUCAAAUGGUCAGUGACAUUUUCCUAUAAAUAAGAGCUAUAAAUUGUAAACAUAAAUAAUU